GUACUCACUCACGUUGCAGCACAUACACUAAAACUGUAAUGAUACAGAGACGAUUAGAAGCCCUUGCACUAGGGUGACAUGCAAAUUCAUGAAAGAAAUUAUAUUCAA
Molecule: small nuclear RNA, 108 nt
Organism: Capra hircus (goat)
Lineage: Eukaryota; Metazoa; Chordata; Mammalia; Artiodactyla; Bovidae
Source: Ensembl